GACGAACGCUGGCGGCGUGCCUAAUACAUGCAAGUAGAACGCUGAAGAGAGGAGCUUGCUCUUCUUGGAUGAGUUGCGAACGGGUGAGUAACGCGUAGGUAACCUGCCUGGUAGCGGGGGAUAACUAUUGGAAACGAUAGCUAAUACCGCAUAAAAUGGAUUAUCGCAUGAUAAUCCAUUGAAAGGUGCAAAUGCAUCACUACCAGAUGGACCUGCGUUGUAUUAGCUAGUUGGUGGGGUAACGGCUCACCAAGGCGACGAUACAUAGCCGACCUGAGAGGGUGAUCAGCCACACUGGGACUGAGACACGGCCCAGACUCCUACGGGAGGCAGCAGUAGGGAAUCUUCGGCAAUGGACGGAAGUCUGACCGAGCAACGCCGCGUGAGUGAAGAAGGUUUUCGGAUCGUAAAGCUCUGUUGUAAGAGAAGAACGAGUGUGAGAGUGGAAAGUUCACACUGUGACGGUAUCUUACCAGAAAGGGACGGCUAACUACGUG
This 497-nucleotide ribosomal RNA is filed under the name uncultured bacterium. RNAcentral's name for it is "partial 16S ribosomal RNA". It matches the Rfam family "Bacterial small subunit ribosomal RNA", at positions 28 to 507 of the family's 1533-position model. The record is from RNAcentral.